Molecule: ribosomal RNA, 253 nt
Filed under: uncultured bacterium
Lineage: Bacteria
Description: partial 16S ribosomal RNA
Rfam family: Bacterial small subunit ribosomal RNA
Source: RNAcentral
UACGAAGGGGGCUAGCGUUGUUCGGAAUUACUGGGCGUAAAGGGCGCGUAGGCGGCCUUGUGAGUCGAGUGUGAAAGCCCUGGGCUUAACCCGGGAAGCGCGCUUGAUACUGCAGGGCUUGAGUGUGGGAGAGGAUGAUGGAAUUCCCAGUGUAGAGGUGAAAUUCGUAGAUAUUCGGAAGAACACCAGUGGCGAAGGCGGCUCACUGGACCGGUAUUGACGCUCAGGCACGAAAGCGUGGGGAGCAAACGGG